CCUACGGGAGGCAGCAGUGAGGAAUAUUGGUCAAUGGCCGGAAGGCUGAACCAGCCAAGUCGCGUGAGGGACGACUGCCCUAUGGGUUGUAAACCUCUUUUAUAAGGGAAGAAUAAAUGCUACGUGUAGCAUGAUGCCUGUACCUUAUGAAUAAGCAUCGGCUAACUCCGUGCCAGCAGCCGCGGUAAUACGGAGGAUGCGAGCGUAUCCGGAUUUAUUGGGGUUAAAGGGUGCGUAGGCGGUUUUUUAAGUUAGUGGUUAAACGGCGGGGCUUCACCUUGAUUUGCCAUUAAUACUGUAAGACUCGAGUUCAGACGAGGUAGGCGGAAUAAGUUAAGUAGCGGUGAAAUGCUUAGAUAUAACUUAGAACUCCGAUAGCGAAGGCAGCUUACCAGACUGCGACUGACGCUGAAGCACGAGAGCGUGGGUAGCGAACAGGAUUAGAUACCCUAGUAGUC
This 458-nucleotide ribosomal RNA is filed under the name uncultured bacterium. RNAcentral describes it as "partial 16S ribosomal RNA". It matches the Rfam family "Bacterial small subunit ribosomal RNA", at positions 338 to 795 of the family's 1533-position model. The record is from RNAcentral.